Molecule: ribosomal RNA, 720 nt
Filed under: Triticum aestivum (bread wheat)
Lineage: Eukaryota; Viridiplantae; Streptophyta; Magnoliopsida; Poales; Poaceae
Description: partial small subunit ribosomal RNA
Source: RNAcentral
AUGGGGGAUUCGAGAGAGUUGUGGGAACAUAUAAAAGAGGCUGCCAAUUCGGUGGUGUUAACAGAUGAAAAAGAUAAGAUGAAGUGGACUCUCACAAAAAAAGGGAUUUACACAGUGAAAUCCUUCUAUAGACAUUUGAUAGAAAAUGGGAUCAAAUACCCACCCUUAUAUAUGUGGAAGAUUAAAAUACCACCUAGAGUUAAGGUGUUCAUGUGGUUAGCUCUUAGAAAAAGCAUCCUCACUAAAGAUAACUUGUUACACAGGUGCUGGAAAGGAGAUGAUAAAUGUCCAUUCUGUGGAAGAAAAGAAAACAUCAAUCAUCUGUUUUUAACCUGUUCAGUAGCUAGGCUUCUGUGGAUUAUUUUGAAAUGUGCUUUCAAUCUCAAAGAUAUACCAGACGAUUUGGAUCUGGUGAUGAGGGGCUGGGCUAAAACUUUUGGAGAAGAGGAAAGGGGUUUAGUUUGGAUAGGUAUUUCUGCUAUUUGUUGGACUAUUUGGAAAUUGAGAAACUGUGUGAUUUUUGAUAAUAACAUGGUAAAUGAUCCCUGUGUGGCUGUCAACUUGUUACUUAAAAACUUACAUGAUUGGAAUCUCUUGCAGAAAAACCCCGUAAGAAAUAAAAUGAUGGAGGCUGGACUAAAGCAGAUCGGUGUGGUGGCUGAAGAAGUGUUUCGAGCAGCUCAUGGGUGGCGACUGGCGACUAGAAGGAUCAUGGGGUGA